This 1256-nucleotide ribosomal RNA is filed under the name Vibrio halioticoli. Its description in RNAcentral is "bacterial SSU rRNA". It matches the Rfam family "Bacterial small subunit ribosomal RNA", at positions 49 to 1277 of the family's 1533-position model. The record is from RNAcentral. Lineage: Bacteria; Pseudomonadati; Pseudomonadota; Gammaproteobacteria; Vibrionales; Vibrionaceae.
CUACACAUGCAAAGUCGAGCGGAACGAGUUAGUCUGAACCUUCGGGGAACGAUAACGGCGUCGAGCGGCGGACGGGUGAGUAAUGCCUGGGAAAUUGCCCUGAUGUGGGGGAUAACUAUUGGAAACGAUAGCUAAUACCGCAUAAUGUCUACGGACCAAAGAGGGGGACCUUCGGGCCUCUCGCUUCAGGAUAUGCCCAGGUGGGAUUAGCUAGUUGGUGAGGUAAUGGCUCACCAAGGCGACGAUCCCUAGCUGGUCUGAGAGGAUGAUCAGCCACACUGGAACUGAGACACGGUCCAGACUCCUACGGGAGGCAGCAGUGGGGAAUAUUGCACAAUGGGCGCAAGCCUGAUGCAGCCAUGCCGCGUGUUAUGAAGAAGGCCUUCGGGUUGUAAAGUACUUUCAGUCGUGAGGAAGGCGUUAAAGUUAAUAGCUUUAUCGUUUGACGUUAGCGACAGAAGAAGCACCGGCUAACUCCGUGCCAGCAGCCGCGGUAAUACGGAGGGUGCGAGCGUUAAUCGGAAUUACUGUUGGCGUAAAGCGCAUGCAGGUGGUUUGUUAAGUCAGAUGUGAAAGCCCGGGGCUCAACCUCGGAACCGCAUUUGAAACUGGCAGGCUAGAGUACUGUAGAGGGGGGUAGAAUUUCAGGUGUAGCGGUGAAAUGCGUAGAGAUCUGAAGGAAUACCAGUGGCGAAGGCGGCCCCCUGGACAGAUACUGACACUCAGAUGCGAAAGCGUGGGGAGCAAACAGGAUUAGAUACCCUGGUAGUCCACGCCGUAAACGAUGUCUACUUGGAGGUUGUGGCCUUGAGCCGUGGCUUUCGGAGCUAACGCGUUAAGUAGACCGCCUGGGGAGUACGGUCGCAAGAUUAAAACUCAAAUGAAUUGACGGGGGCCCGCACAAGCGGUGGAGCAUGUGGUUUAAUUCGAUGGCAACGCGAAGAACCUUACCUACUCUUGACAUCCCCAGAGAACUUUUCAGAGAUGAAUUGGUGCCUUCGGGAACUCUGAGACAGGUGCUGCAUGGCUGUCGUCAGCUCGUGUUGUGAAAUGUUGGGUUAAGUCCCGCAACGAGCGCAACCCUUAUCCUUGUUUGCCAGCAAGUAAUGGUGGGAACUCCAGGGAGACUGCCGGUGAUAAACCGGAGGAAGGUGGGGACGACGUCAAGUCAUCAUGGCCCUUACGAGUAGGGCUACACACGUGCUACAAUGGCGCAUACAGAGGGCGGCCAACCAGCGAUGGUGAGCGAAUCCCAA